RNAcentral lists this unclassified non-coding RNA (21 nucleotides) under Mus musculus (house mouse). Its description in RNAcentral is "oocyte_clustered_small_RNA12514". The record is from RNAcentral. Lineage: Eukaryota; Metazoa; Chordata; Mammalia; Rodentia; Muridae.
GUGCAGAUCGUGCAAAGUUUG